GAAGGGACCUAGCGUAGUCGGAAUUACUGGGCUAAAGAGUCGUAGGUGGUGAAAAAGUUGGUGGUGAAAUCCCAGAGCUUAACUCUGGAACUGCCAUCAAAACUUUUCAGCUAGAGUAUGAUAGAGGAAAGCAGAAUUUCUAGUGUAGAGGUGAAAUUCGUAGAUAUUAGAAAGAAUACCAAUUGCGAAGGCAGCUUUCUGGAUCAUUACUGACACUGAGGAACGAAAGCAUGGGUAGCGAAGAGGAUUAGAUACCCUCGUAGUCCAUGCCGUAAACGAUGUGUGUUAGACGUUGGAAAUUUAUUUUCAGUGUCGCAGGGAAACCGAUAAACACACCGCCUGGGGAGUACGACCGCAAGGUUAAAACUCAAAUGAAUUGACGGGGACCCGCACAAGUAGUGGAGCAUGUGGUUUAAUUCGAAGAUACGCGCAGAACCUUACCAACACUUGACAUGUUCGUCGCGACUCUAAGAGAUUAGAGUUUUCGGUUCGGCCGGACGAAACACAGGUGCUGCAUGGCUGUCGUCAGCUCGUGUCGUGAGAUGUUGGGUUAAGUCCCGCAACGAGCGCAACCCUCACUUUUAGUUGCCAUCAUUAAGUUGGGCACUCUGAAAGAACUGCCAGUGAUAAGCUGGAGGAAGGUGGGGAUGACGUCAAGUCCUCAUGGCCCUUACGUGUUGGGCUACACACGUGCUACAAUGGCAUCUACAACAGGAAGCAAAACGGCAACGUUAAGCAAAUCCCGAAAAGAUGCCUCAGUUCGGAUUGCACUCUGCAACUCGAGUGCAUGAAGCUGGAAUUACUAGUAAUCGUGGAUCAGCGUGCCACGGUGAAUGCGUUCCCGGGUCUU
RNAcentral lists this ribosomal RNA (850 nucleotides) under uncultured organism. Its description in RNAcentral is "bacterial SSU rRNA". It matches the Rfam family "Bacterial small subunit ribosomal RNA", at positions 527 to 1382 of the family's 1533-position model. The record is from RNAcentral.